RNAcentral lists this ribosomal RNA (342 nucleotides) under Thermobrachium celere DSM 8682. Its description in RNAcentral is "SSU rRNA". It matches the Rfam family "Bacterial small subunit ribosomal RNA", at positions 7 to 342 of the family's 1533-position model. Lineage: Bacteria; Bacillati; Bacillota; Clostridia; Eubacteriales; Clostridiaceae. The record is from RNAcentral.
GAGAGUUUGAUCCUGGCUCAGGACGAACGCUGGCGGCGUGCCUAACACAUGCAAGUCGAGCGGAGGGGAUAGGAGCUUGCUCCUUGAACCUUAGCGGCGGACGGGUGAGUAACACGUGGGUAACCUGCCCUUGAGAGGGGGAUAACAGGUCGAAAGGCCUGCUAAUACCGCAUAACGCUAAGAUGCCGCAUGGCGUCUUAGCCAAAGGUUAAUUCCGCUCAAGGAUGGGCCCGCGGCCCAUUAGCUAGUUGGUGAGGUAAUGGCUCACCAAGGCGACGAUGGGUAGCCGGCCUGAGAGGGUGGUCGGCCACACUGGGACUGAGACACGGCCCAGACUCCUAC